UCCGCCUCCUCCUUCAUCCUCGCCCUAAUUUGCUCUAGUUAAUUUGAUCCUCUUCAACCGUUAAUCAAUUUCAAGGUUUCAACUAAGUCCAAUAAAAAUCAAGGAAUUCUUGUUUCACCUGGUUCUGAUUCGUCUUGGGAAGGUUACGACGAGGUUAGAUCCAAACAUCGUAACGAUCCAGCAGUGAUGAAUAAGCUACGUGAGAAAUUGAAGUCGAAAGCUACAGUUAAACAUGCACCCAAAGAAGUAGACAACAAGAUUGAAGGGGUUACAACACGCCCUAAUCUCCCAAAGGGAAUGAAAUACGUCAUCAAGAAGAUCCCGUCCCACACAUUGAGAUUCGAAACUAUAAGAGCCAAUCAUACCUUAUCUCAAUCUUCUAUCCAUAAAUAGCUGAUGUGCAUUAACUAUUCUAUAGCUAAAGUUAUGUAUCAGAUACAUAACUUAUGUAUCAGCAAAAGUGAAAAAAUAAUUGAAAUCAACUUCGGUUUGAA
Long non-coding RNA from Solanum dulcamara, 494 nucleotides. RefSeq lists it as uncharacterized. NCBI's taxonomy places the organism in Eukaryota, Viridiplantae, Streptophyta, Magnoliopsida, Solanales, Solanaceae. The transcript has 3 exons. The record is from RefSeq and is a predicted model, not a curated record.